This 90-nucleotide transfer RNA is filed under the name Caudoviricetes sp. Its description in RNAcentral is "tRNA-Ser". It matches the Rfam family "tRNA". Rfam says of the family: Transfer RNA (tRNA) molecules are approximately 80 nucleotides in length. Their secondary structure includes four short double-helical elements and three loops (D, anti-codon, and T loops). Further hydrogen bonds mediate the characteristic L-shaped molecular structure. tRNAs have two regions of fundamental functional importance: the anti-codon, which is responsible for specific mRNA codon recognition, and the 3' end, to which the tRNAs corresponding amino acid is attached (by aminoacyl-tRNA synthetases). tRNAs cope with the degeneracy of the genetic code in two manners: having more than one tRNA (with a specific anti-codon) for a particular amino acid; and 'wobble' base-pairing, i.e. permitting non-standard base-pairing at the 3rd anti-codon position. Lineage: Duplodnaviria; Heunggongvirae; Uroviricota; Caudoviricetes. The record is from RNAcentral.
GGCGGGGUCGCAUAGCCUGGUUGAGUGCACCGGCCUUGAAAUCCGGAGACCGUGAUGAGCGGUCCGUGGGUUCGAAUCCCACCCCCGCCG